GAUGAACGCUGGCGGCGUGCCUAAUACAUGCAAGUCGAGCGAACAGACGAGAGUGCUUGCACUCUCUGACGUUAGCGGCGGACGGGUGAGUAACACGUGGGUAACCUACCUAUAAGACUGGGAUAACUUCGGGAAACCGGAGCUAAUACCGGAUAAUAUUUAGCUUCGCAUGAAGCAAUAGUGAAAGACGGUUCUGCUGUCACUUAUAGAUGGACCCGCGGUGUAUUAGCUAGUUGGUGAGGUAACGGCUCACCAAGGCAACGAUACAUAGCCGACCUGAGAGGGUGAUCGGCCCACUGGGGCCGGGACCACGGCCCAGACCCCUCGGGGGGGCAGCAGUAGGGAAUCUUCCGCAAUGGACGAAAGUUGGACGGAGAAAUGCCGGGGGGGGGAAAAAGGUUUUGGGAUCGAAAAACUCUUUUGUAGGGGAAAAAAAAGUACGUUAGUAACGGAACGUACCUUGCCGGGCCCGUACCAGAAAGCCCGGGCUAACUACGG
This 498-nucleotide ribosomal RNA is filed under the name uncultured bacterium. RNAcentral describes it as "partial 16S ribosomal RNA". It matches the Rfam family "Bacterial small subunit ribosomal RNA", at positions 28 to 506 of the family's 1533-position model. The record is from RNAcentral.